RNAcentral lists this ribosomal RNA (500 nucleotides) under uncultured bacterium. RNAcentral describes it as "partial 16S ribosomal RNA". It matches the Rfam family "Bacterial small subunit ribosomal RNA", at positions 30 to 523 of the family's 1533-position model. The record is from RNAcentral.
AUUGAACGCUGGCGGAAUGCUUUACAUAUGCAAGUCGAACGGCAGCACGGACUUCGGUCUGGUGGCGAGUGGCGAACGGGUGAGUAAUGUAUCGGAACGUGCCCAGUCGUGGGGGAUAACGUAGUGAAAAUUACGCUAAUACCGCAUACGAUCUAUGGAUGAAAGCGGGGGAUCGCAAGACCUCGCGCGAUUGGAGCGGCCGAGAUCAGAUUAGGUAGUUGGUGGGGUAAAGGCCCACCAAGCCAACGAUCUGUAGCUGGUCUGAGAGGACGACCAGCCACACUGGAACUGAGACACGGUCCAGACUCCUACGGGAGGCAGCAGUGGGGAAUUUUGGACAAUGGGCGAAAGCCUGAUUCAGCCAUUCCGCGUGCAGGAUGAAGGCCCUCGGGUUGUAAACUGCUUUUGUACAGAACGAAAAGGUUUCUACUAAUACUAGGAGCUCAUGACGGUACUGUAAGAAUAAGCACCGGCUAACUACGUGCCAGCAGCCGCGGUAA